Molecule: RNase P RNA, 296 nt
Filed under: Salmonella enterica subsp. enterica
Lineage: Bacteria; Pseudomonadati; Pseudomonadota; Gammaproteobacteria; Enterobacterales; Enterobacteriaceae
Description: partial RNase P RNA component class A
Rfam family: Bacterial RNase P class A
About the family: Ribonuclease P (RNase P) is a ubiquitous endoribonuclease, found in archaea, bacteria and eukarya as well as chloroplasts and mitochondria. Its best characterised activity is the generation of mature 5'-ends of tRNAs by cleaving the 5'-leader elements of precursor-tRNAs.
Source: RNAcentral
GGGGUGACCCGCGGGAAAGUGCCACAGAAAACAAACUGCCGGUCUUCGGAUCGGUGAGGGUGAAACGGCGGGGUAAGAGCCCACCGCGUCAUCGGUGACGGUGACGGCAUGGCAAACCCCACCUGGAGCAAGGCCAAGAAGAUCGUGAGGUCGCGGACGUGUUUGAGGGUCGCUCGCCCGAGCGUUCGGGUAGGCCGCGCAGCCGAAAGGCUGGAGGACACCAGCAAUGGUGUUCACAGAUGGAUGGUCACCGGCCCGGAGGGCUACAGAACCCGGCUUACAGGAUGGCUCGUCCC